UUCGACUCAGGCCCGGAUCUCCUGGGAACCCCAGCGCUGAGCUGAUAUUCGGACACUUGGUAAUUGAUUCAUGCAGAUAUAAUUGACACAGGAUUUGUAUAUGGAGCAUAUACGAGGACACGUACGCACACGUAGGACAUAAGCCUCAGAC
This 151-nucleotide long non-coding RNA is filed under the name Mustela putorius furo (domestic ferret). RNAcentral describes it as "lncRNA (ENSMPUG00000027652.1)". The record is from RNAcentral. Lineage: Eukaryota; Metazoa; Chordata; Mammalia; Carnivora; Mustelidae.